GCCAACGUAGCUCAGCUGGCAGAGCAUCGCAUUCGUAAUGCGAUGGUCGUCGGUUCGAAUCCGACCGUUGGCUCCA
This 76-nucleotide transfer RNA is filed under the name Verrucomicrobiota bacterium. RNAcentral describes it as "Verrucomicrobia bacterium tRNA-Thr". It matches the Rfam family "tRNA". From Rfam's summary of the family: Transfer RNA (tRNA) molecules are approximately 80 nucleotides in length. Their secondary structure includes four short double-helical elements and three loops (D, anti-codon, and T loops). Lineage: Bacteria; Pseudomonadati; Verrucomicrobiota. The record is from RNAcentral.